CAUCUUCAGUUUGAAUGAGUUCAUUGCAGAUGAACUUAAACCAAUAUGAACCCAUCCUAUGGCAAAUCUUCUGUCAAGAAGUAUUAAUAAUUGGAGUUAGUUUUCUAAACUAGCUAAGUUCUUUUUUAAUUCACUACUUGAGAAAAUUUGUUUGAUUUUUCAGGGGUACUAUCUUGUGAGAAAGAAAAGCAGACAACUUUAUUCGUACAAUCUGAAUAAUGGUAAUGCAACUCUUGAAAAUGUUGCACUCUUGAUUAAAAAAAUAGGCAAAAUAGGACAUCUGGGAUGUUAUGUCUUCUAGUUUAUUGCAAACCCCUACAUGUAAAAAGAGAGUAAAUUCUCUACAAAGAGACACAGUGUAACAGCUAAUUACAAUAGUGCAAAAAAUGCAGAAAGUUUUAGAAUAUCUGUCACCUCAAAAGGUUGUUGGGUUUCUUUUUGUUGUUGCUCUGAUUAUACAUUCAGAAAGCAUGGAUUUAUUCCCUUUUCUUUUCCCAUGGUACAAUAAAGGUUUCUUUCUUGCUUUUACUGCCUGUGUUUAGGGAUUAGAUAUUUAAAUUAAUUGCUGGAGAAUGAAAGCACAUCAGUCAUUCAUCUAUUUAGUGACAGUCGCGUUUUUAAAAUAGAAUGGAUCUACUUAAUGUUCAUAAACAGAUUCUUUCAGAUUGAUGCCAAAAUGUAUCCAGGGUCUUUGAAGUCCAAGGAGCAUUUUAAGCAAUUUACAGCUAGUAUUAAAAGCUGUUCUUAGUAAUUUGAUGAACUAUAUAUAUCACUAGAACCAACAUUAACUCAUUAAUUAUCAGAAAAGUCCACCUCAAAAUACUUACUGUUUCAUUACGUUUCAUCGCCAUGAAAAUUCACACAAGCACUACAAGUGAGAUUACAAGUGGGAAUUAUUUUUAUGAAAAUAAUUAGGUCUUGCUCCAAACUCAUAUGCUUCUGAUUCAUUUAGAGUCAGCCCGUAUCAGGUCAACUCAGUUUUGAUUUCAUUAGGGAUGAACAUACGUCAAACACUGUUGCCUGAGUUGAGACUCAGAUUUUCAAAGAUCCACAAAAUCUAAACUACAGUGACCUGAAGUAACAUUGAUGCUUGUCACCUCAAAUGAAGAUCAGCAAAGGCAUUGGUACAGCAGAGCCUAUAAGGAACGCAAAUACUCUCUUGUUAUGACUAGGGAAACCCAGAGGCAUCUUCUUCUGCUUUGGGUACAGACUUAAGAUUGAUAAUGUUUAGUGUGUUGGCUUCUAAAUUUCCUCUUGGAUUUUGAAUGGCUGAGCCUUGACUAUAUUCUGACUUUUUGCUGUUUCAUUCUUUGUAUUCACUGUCUCUCCUAGUGAUCCCAGCGUCAAAGUAAUUCUGUGUGAAAAUACACAGAGCAUACAUAGAACACAAAAAAGCUGAGGCAAAGUUCUUUCACUGUGAUAAUAAAUAAAAUCAAUUCAAAUUCAUGAUUGUUGUUUAAACUACUCUGGAUGCUCCUUCUCAGAGCUAACUCCACGUUCUUCUUCAACUAUCAUUGCAUUCACUUUCCAGACCCCCCUCUGGCUUCCCCAACCUGAGGCAGUUCUGCUAUACAACAGUGCCCACCAUCAUUUACUUUUCUCCUAAAAACUUCCUCUCUCCACCAUCCUGUGCCCAUUGUGCUCUGUCCACCCUGUGCCACAUUCUACAUCCAUAUUUUGUGGUCCAUGCUCUUUCUUCUGGAAAGUAGUUAUAUACUGAUUUUUUAAUUUAAUCUGCCCUAAACAGCAACCAUGUUGGGUUGUGCUUUGCCACAGAAACCACCCUGUCAAGUUUUUAAGCUUACAUCACUUUGACAGCAGGUGAGACUGACAACAUACUACUUUGAUUCAUUCAGGUCACACAAAAAUUAUUUCAUAGAAAUCUCUUUGACAGUCUUUAUGUAUAUACAUACAUAAAUUUUUCAGAUAACUCCCGUUCAGUCAGGUGAGCAUGUCUUUGUAACUGUAUUUUGCAGUGCAAGCAUACAAUAAAAG
This is a long non-coding RNA of Gallus gallus (chicken), 1995 nucleotides long. The record is from Ensembl. Lineage: Eukaryota; Metazoa; Chordata; Aves; Galliformes; Phasianidae.